AUGCCUCCGAGACGUGACCCCGGAUUUGUCUUCCCACCGGAGCUCACUCAGUUGAUCCAACAACAGAAUGCCUUGAUGCAGCUACUAGUCCAUAACCAAGGCAACAACAACAACAACCCACUGCCACCACCCCUAGUUGACAACUUAGCCCGUUUUCUAAGGUUGCAGCCGCCGGUGUUUUCCAGUAGCACCGAGCCAAUAGUUGAUGAUGACUGGCUACGCAGGAUUGGAAGGGAGUUGACCACCGUAGGUUGCACAGAUGUUGAGAAGGUGCGUUUUGCCGCACAUCAAUUGGAUGGACCUGCAGCCUCAUGGUGGGAGAAUUACACAACCACUUUCCCUAUAGCCAAUGUCACUUGGGAGUAG
This 366-nucleotide ribosomal RNA is filed under the name Triticum aestivum (bread wheat). RNAcentral's name for it is "partial small subunit ribosomal RNA". Lineage: Eukaryota; Viridiplantae; Streptophyta; Magnoliopsida; Poales; Poaceae. The record is from RNAcentral.